Molecule: ribosomal RNA, 107 nt
Filed under: Staphylococcus aureus
Lineage: Bacteria; Bacillati; Bacillota; Bacilli; Caryophanales; Staphylococcaceae
Source: RNAcentral
UGGUGACUAUAGCAAGGAGGUCACACCUGUUCCCAUGCCGAACACAGAAGUUAAGCUCCUUAGCGUCGAUGGUAGUCGAACUUACGUCAAAAUAAAAAGUAAACACA